GACGAACGCUGGCGGCGUGCUUAACACAUGCAAGUCGAACGCUGAAGCCCUUUCGGGGGUGGAUGAGUGGCGAACGGGUGAGUAACACGUGGGUAAUCUGCCCUGUACUUCGGGAUAAGCCUUGGAAACGGGGUCUAAUACCGGAUAGGACCUGUCCUCGCAUGGGGGUGGGUGGAAAGUUCCGGCGGUAUGGGAUGAGCCCGCGGCCGAUCAGCUGGUUGGUGGGGUAGUGGCCUACCAAGGCGACGACGGGUAGCCGGCCUGAGAGGGUGACCGGUCACACUGGGACUGAGACACGGCCCAGACUCCUACGGGAGGCAGCAGUGGGGAAUCUUGCGCAAUGGGCGAAAGCCUGACGCAGCAACGCCGCGUGGGGGAUGACGGCCUUCGGGUUGUAAACCUCUUUCGACAUCGACGAAGGGGCCCUGUUGUGGGGUUUUGACGGUAGGUGUAGAAGAAGCACCGGCUAACUACGUGCCAGCCGCCGCCGUAA
This 493-nucleotide ribosomal RNA is filed under the name uncultured bacterium. RNAcentral's name for it is "partial 16S ribosomal RNA". It matches the Rfam family "Bacterial small subunit ribosomal RNA", at positions 28 to 523 of the family's 1533-position model. The record is from RNAcentral.